GAUGAAGAACGUAGCGAAAUGCGAUACUUGGUGUGAAUUGCAGAAUCCCGUGAACCAUCGAGUCUUUGAACGCAAGUUGCGCCUCAAGCCAUUAGGUUGAGGGCACGUCUGCCUGGGCGUCACAUAUCGUUGCCUGAUGCCAGUUUCCUCGUGAUGGGUGACUGUGCAGGGCGAAUGAUGGCUUCCCGUGAGCAUUGUUGCCUCAUGGUUGGUUGAAAAUUGAGUCCUUGGUAGGGAGCGCCGUGAUAGAUGGUGGUUGAGUGACGAACGAGACCCAAUCAUGUGAGACCCCUACCGAAUUUGGCCUUCAUGACCCACAUGCGUCUUUGGAACGCUCAUGACGAGACCUCAGGUCAGGCGAGGCUACCCGCUGAGUUUAAGCAUAUCAAUAAGCGGAGGA
RNAcentral lists this unclassified non-coding RNA (400 nucleotides) under soil metagenome. RNAcentral's name for it is "partial contains 5.8S ribosomal RNA, internal transcribed spacer 2, and large subunit ribosomal RNA". The stretch from base 1 to 122 matches the Rfam family "5.8S ribosomal RNA", at positions 35 to 154 of the family's 154-position model. The record is from RNAcentral.